CGGUCACGUGGUUCCGCACCUCCCUAGCGCGCGCCCGCCCGCCAGCUCGUCCCCGGCCCCGGCUCCUCCUCCUCCUCUUCUCGCCAUUGCAGUUGGACUCAGCAGCCCGGUGCGUACCGCGUGGCUUUUUGGGGAAGACCGAGGCGGGCUGUGGCCGGAGGGCGGUGGUUGCUGUCGAGGAAAGGGACCCAGACGAGAUAGUUGAAGUAUUGAUUAACACCAACGAAAUCUGUCAGUGUGAAAAGAUAAGCAAAAAUUUGAUUUCCAGACACUACAGAAAAAGACGUAAAAAUGCGUCCAGUACGAAUUUUUGUGAAUGACGAUCGCCAUGUGAUGGCAAAGCAUUCUUCUGUUUAUCCAACACAAGAGGAACUGGAAGCAGUCCAGAACAUGGUGUCCCACACAGAACGAGCUCUCAAAGCUGUGUCUGACUGGAUCGAUGAGCAGGAGAAAGUCAACAGUGAUAAUGCUGAGUCUGAGAACGUGGAUGUGCCCCAGGAGGAUGAGACCAAAGAAGGGACUGGGGAGCAGAAGACAGAGCACAUGACCAGAACCCUGAGGGGUGUGAUGCGUGUUGGCCUUGUGGCAAAGGGCCUGCUGCUCAAGGGGGACUUGGACCUGGAGCUGGUGCUGUUGUGUAAGGAGAAGCCCACAACGGCCCUCCUGGACAAGGUGGCUGACAAUCUGGCCAUCCAGCUCGCUGCUGUUACAGAAGACAAGUAUGAAAUACUCCAAUCUGUCGAUGAUGCUGCAAUUGUGAUAAAAAACACAAAAGAGCCUCCAUUGUCCCUGACCAUCCACCUGACAUCCCCUGUUGUCAGAGAAGAGAUGGAGAAAGUAUUAGCUGGAGAAACGCUAUCAGUCAACGAUCCCCCGGACGUUCUGGACAGGCAGAAAUGCCUUGCUGCCUUGGCGUCCCUCCGACACGCCAAGUGGUUCCAGGCCAGAGCCAAUGGGCUGAAGUCGUGUGUCAUUGUCAUCCGGGUCCUGAGGGACCUGUGCACUCGCGUGCCCACUUGGGGUCCCCUCAGAGGAUGGCCCCUCGAGCUCCUCUGUGAGAAGUCCAUUGGCACAGCCAACAGACCAAUGGGUGCCGGCGAGGCCCUGCGGAGAGUGCUGGAGUGCCUGGCGUCAGGCAUCGUGAUGCCAGAUGGUUCUGGCAUUUAUGACCCUUGUGAAAAAGAAGCCACUGAUGCUAUUGGGCAUCUAGACAGACAGCAACGGGAAGAUAUCACACAGAGUGCGCAGCAUGCUCUGCGACUUGCUGCAUUUGGCCAGCUGCAUAAAGUCCUGGGUAUGGAUCCUCUGCCUUCUAAGAUGCCCAAGAAACCAAAGAAUGAAAACCCAGUGGACUACACGGUUCAAAUACCCCCCAGUACCACCUACGCCAUUACGCCCAUGAAACGCCCGAUGGAGGAAGAUGGGGAUGAAAAGUCUCCCAGCAAAAAGAAGAAGAAGAUUCAGAAGAAAGAGGAGAAGGCAGAGCCUCCCCAAGCUAUGAACGCCCUAAUGAGACUGAACCAGCUCAAGCCGGGGCUGCAGUACAAACUGGUUUCCCAGACUGGACCAGUCCACGCCCCCAUCUUCACCAUGUCUGUGGAGGUAGAUGGCAACUCAUUCGAGGCUUCUGGACCAUCCAAAAAGACUGCCAAGCUGCACGUGGCUGUUAAGGUGUUACAGGACAUGGGCUUACCCACGGGCGCCGAAGGCAGAGACUCCAAAGGGGAGGACUCAGCCGAGGAGAUGGACACAAAGCCAGCCUUGCUGAUGCCUCCGCCUAUGAUGGAAGCUCUCUCAGCCCACAGCUCUCUCUUCUGUGAUCCCACUGCCGAGAACGUAAAACAGCAGGGGCCGAUCCUGACCAAGCAUGGCAAGAACCCUGUUAUGGAACUUAAUGAAAAGAGGCGUGGCCUCAAGUAUGAGCUCAUCUCAGAGACCGGGGGCAGCCAUGACAAACGCUUUGUCAUGGAGGUCGAGGUGGAUGGACAAAAGUUUCAAGGUGCUGGUUCCAACAAAAAGGUGGCCAAAGCAUAUGCCGCCUUUGCUGCACUAGAAAAACUGUUCCCUGAUACCCCUCUUGCCCUUGAUGCCAACAAGAAGAAGAGGGUCCCUGUGCCUGUGAGAGGGGGACCGAAAUUUGCUGCUAAGCCACAUAACCCUGUGUAUGGCAUGGGCGGCCCCAUGCACAAUGAAGUACCCCCGCCCCCUAACCUUCGAGGGCGGGGAAGAGGAGGAAACAUCCGUGGUCGAGGGAGAGGUAGAGGAUUUGGUGGUGCCAACCAUGGAGGCUACAUGAAUGCUGGCGCCGGGUAUGGCAGCUACUAUGGAGCCAACUCGGCAACCGCCGGCUACAGUGACUUUUUCACAGACUGCUACGGCUAUCAUGAUUUUGGGUCUUCCUAGAGCAUCUAAAAGUAUUGCACACAAAAUCAACUUUUUACUCCAAUUUUCUCGAACUCCAAAACCCAAAGUGUCCGUGCUGUGCCCUGUGCUUCACUGGGUUUCUCAACCGUGGCUUGUCACCGCAGCUUGUCUGAAACUCUUAGCCUGCAGAUUUUAAGACAAUGGCAGUUUUUAUCGUGAUUUGCCUUUGAACUUGGUCAUAUUGAAGUUCACAAUAAGUGGAAACCAAUUUUCAGAGAAUGUUUUUGUGCAGAAUUGCACAGAAUUCUAGAGUCAGCGUUGGUCAGCAUCAAGGCAAAAGCCCACCUUUUGCUUUUGGAAAGCAUUACUUUAUUUAAAAGAUAGAUAAUAAUGUAUUUUAAUCUACCUUUGUCUUAAUUUACAGCAGGUUAUGUAUGAAUUUUUAAUCUUAACAAAUUCCCAAAUCUGGUUGAUGCCUUUGACAGUAAUAAUUUCACCUCAUCUGAAUCCAGAGCCACCAGCCUUUUCUCUUUUUUUCUUUUUUCUUCUUUCCUUUCCUUUUUUUUUCUUUUUUUUUUUAAAUAAGUGUCUAAAACAUUGAGAACACUCAGGACUUGUAUAUUGUUCCAAGUUAACCUCUUCUGCCUUUUGUGAUGGGUUCUUGUUUGGGGACGCUUUAGCUAGUGAACUCUAAAAGGUAUCAAAACUGUGCUUCUGCUAUUAGUGUGAGAGAUAGGCUUUGGGAAGAGAACGUAGAAUUUGCAAGUCCUAAUCACUGCGGCAAAUGUAUGGGAUUCUAGGUUUUUUCCUUUUUUUUUUUUUUAAGCGGGGCUUCAAAAAUAAUCAGGAAGAGCCUAACACAUAGCGCAAUUCUCAGCAGGGCUCGUGCUGCUGGGUGCACAGCUGCAGCAGGUUCCAGAAGGCCUGGAGCGCUUCUGCCCUCUGAUUUUAGGAUGCAGGCUUGAGUUUGUGGCUUCGCCCUGUGAACAGAAGUACACAACGUUUUGGCUAUUGAAUGAGACCCCCAUUUCCUGGCGGGAGUUCUUCAGAAUGAGUAUAUUUUUGGCUCUGGUCAGCAGUUCUUUUUGCAACAAAGCCUGCUUCUGCAUUGACUUGCAAGAUUUUGCGUUUAUUCAGGCAAAAACUCGUCAAAACGGUUAUUUUGUUCCCAGGGGUUUGAAACAUUCAGUGAAACCUUUUAAAACUUUGAUUGCAUGUGUUUCUUUUUGUUUUUUUGUUUUUUUUAAGAACGUUAUUGUUUGAGAAUAAUGUCUUUUUAUACCAGGAAAUAGUUAUCCUGAAAUGACGUUGAAACCCCUCUCCCCUUUUUCCUUUUUUUUUUUUUUUUUUUCUUAAAUCAAUACAUGCGAAAGUAGUAAGCCCUCAUUCCCAAGCUGGCAGAGGGGCAGGGAGGCGCUUAGAGCAAGCCUUAGGCAGCAGAGGUGGCAGGGUUCUGAGAGGGGUUUGAAGAGGAUUCCUGUCUUCCAGCGUCCUCAUGGAGCUUUUGUAUGUUUACUCUCUUGCAUUCUGGGAAAUGUCCUUCUUGGUGUUUUGGCCUUGUGGAGGCAGGGGGUAGUUCUGGAGAAAAUUAACUGAUGUUGCAGAUCAGUUCUAUCUAAAUUAUUGUCUAAAUCACUCAAGACACAGCAGUGUGGGAUGUACAUCUCCAGUGGGCGGAAUGUGCUUGAGGACUCCCAAAUUAACCCUCUUCAAAAGGCAGGAGCCCCUUGGUGCUAAGUAUAGGAAGGAAGAGCAGGCUGUGCCUGCUCCUUUCUCCCACUCUGGGCGUAACGGCCUUGGUGACUUUGGCAGGGGCCGCACUAGCCAGCAAAGGUAUACAUAGGCUCACCUGCUCCCGGUGCCCAGGAGCUCUGCUGUCCCUGUGUGAGCACUAGGGAUUGUGCACAGGGUUGGAGAGCCACCUGCAUUAUCUGUUCUCUUCUCACCUUGCCUCAGCCGACCCAUCUUCUGUUGGUUUAUCUGAAUGGUGGGGGCUGUGUCUUCUAGUGUCUAUACUUAGUGACCACAUUGAGGUGGGGGCACCGUGACAUUCUUUGCUCCAGGGCCUGAGAAUGUGGUGGCCUCACUGCUUGCUUGUCAGUCCUGCCUCUCAAUCCUGCCUGUACCCAGCAGCUGUGCUGGGAGCAAGAAGGGUCCCUCUGAGGUGCCGCUCAAGGCAGUAGCUUGAGGCCCCGCCUGGUUGUUCAGAUCCCAUCCAUAGCCAGUUUCUUUUCCCCCUGAGGCUAUGGAAUCAUUACUAAAGAUAGGCAUUUGAGCUUAUUAUACCAGAGAGAUGCUCCAGGUCAUUUGUAAGUUUCCAUUUAUUUGGUCUUCCUAGAACCAGGUCAGACCACUUGGUCUUACAAGAGUAACACUGGUUUCAGAUGCAUCGUUAAAGAGCGUCUGCUGGGGUCACCCAGGCAUGUGACUGUAGAAUCUCUUCCCAGCACAGCAGGGGGGAGGUGGCAGGGGCCAGCUGCUUCUGUGGGGCUUUGCUUUUCCUGUCACCGUUGGGGACAUCUGGGUAGCAGUCAGUCUUGAAUGUCAUUCUGUACCCGGAGCCCUUCUCAUUGUAACGUUGACAUCCGCUGCAAAAGCUGCUGUCAGUCUGCUCUUGUGCUGCUGCUUGGCAAAGAUCCAUUGUUGUCAUCAGCUGAUGGGUGAGUGGAGCUGAAGGCUGGGCCAGCCCAAACCAGGCUGCUUAAAGGACCAGAGCUGCUGCUCCUCUCUCCUGCCUCUUUCUUGGCCUGGUCAGUGGGCUUGUGGGUCACCUGGCUCUUGGGUCAGCCUUUAGGACCCACAGCUGCAACCUCCUCCUCCCCCAUCUCCCAAUCCUCUGCCUGACCUGCUGCCUUCCUCUUUAGGUCAGUUCUACAGCAAUGGAGGGCAUUCUGGGAAUGCCGGCGGCGGGGGCGGUGGUGGCUCUUCUGGCUACGCCUCCUACUACCAAGGUGACAGCUACAACUCACCAGUGCCGCCGAAACAUGCUGGGAAGAAGCAGCCACAUGGCCAGCAGAAGCCCUCCUAUGGCUCAGGCUACCAGUCCCAUCAAGGCCAGCAGCAGUCCUACAACCAGAGCCAGUACAGCAACUACGGCCCACCGCAGGGCAAGCAGAAAGGCUAUAAUCAUGGACAAGGCAACUACUCCUACUCAAACUCUUACAGCUCUCCCGGAGGCGGGGGCGGAUCAGACUACAGCUACGAGAGCAAAUUCAGUGAGUUGGCCUCCAGAGCCGCUUGGCCUGGCCAGGGUCUGGGCUGGUGGCACGUCCUGUUGAGUUUCAGAAGCUCAGCACUGCCCCGACCUCCAGAGGGGCUGGAAGGGCACGGGGUGGUGCUGGCUGAAGGGCGGGUGUUAGGAUAAUUCUGGAAGCAAAGUCCUCCGGCCCAGGUCUUUGCUAUCCCCUUGUCUUUGCCUCAGGUCCCGGAAGCUGUGGGCUGAGGCUGGGGCAUGAGCUUAGAUAGAACUCUAAGUCUGGGCAGCAGCUAUGAGGUAAUCUCUAGGAAGGGGCUCUGGAAGCAGUGGUCACCCAGCACCUAACAGAUCCUGUUACUUCUCCUUCGACCUCAUGCACAGAGCCUGAAUGCUGAAGCUCCAUUAGUGGCCCAGCUGGGGAAACAUGUGCAUGUGCAGGACAGCAGGCAGCCUUAAAGAAGCUGUGCUGUCUUUGUGGGCCUGUCAGAGGCCGAGUGGGAGAGGGGAGGAGAGGAGGUUAUGGGAGGCUUUGGUUGGAAAAGCAGGUGAGAAGGCAUGGUGGAACUGAGCUUUAAAACUUGAUGUUACAGGGCUCCAGGGCCCCUGGCACUUCAUGGUUGGACUGAUGUGUACCAAAUUUAAACAGCUAAGACAGGGAGCUGUGCAAAGGCCCAGGGUCUCAGUCAAGGGCCUGCCACUUUAGGACCACAGGACAAGGAACCUAAACUGCCCAGGUGUAUCUUGGCUGUAGCCCCUUAACUAUGCUGUCUUCUCUCCCCCAGACUACAGCGGUAGUGGAGGCCGAAGUGGCGGGAACAGCUACGGCACAGGAGGGUCGUCCUACAAUCCAGGGUCACACGGGGGCUACGGUGGAGGUUCUGGGGUUGGCUCCUACCAAGGCAAACAAGGCUAUGCGUCACAGUCGAACUACAACUCCCCGGGGUCCGGCCAGAAUUACGGCCCUCCCAGCUCCUACCAGUCAUCACAGGGGGGCUAUGGCAGAAAUGCAGAUCACAGCAUGAACUACCAGUACAGAUAAAGCCCUCAGGGGUGAAGAUUUGUACCUUCUGCACUUACCCCCCCCCCCCCCCGCCGUUGUAAGAUUCAGUUUUAUGCAUCACAGUUAACAUGUCAACAGGCCCCUCCGCCCUCCCCUGUCCACAUUGCUGUGUUGUGAGGUGCAGCUGGUCACUCCUGUGGCCCGUCCUGUGACCCCUAUUUAGCCGUGUUUGGGACUCCAUGUCUUCAAUGGUUUGUUAGUUGCCAUUACAACUUGUCUGAGUAGUUUCUUGAGUUCUUGCAGUUAAGUAUCCUUCUGUCUAUUUACAAUUGGUGUUAGUGUUAACUCAGUUUGUCUUUAAAUAGUUACGGAAGGGAUACGUCAUCUGUUAAUGCUUUUGUGAAGUGAGUUAAACGAGCUUUCUGUAUUCUAAUGCUUUAGUGUUUCAGUUUUAUAAGUGAAGAUUUUAUUUUAAAAACCAGUGGGGAAGAGUGGGGGUUUUUUUUGUAUGUCUGGAUCAUUCAGGCAGUACAUCUGAAUUAAGCUGAAUGUAGACAAAUAAAGAAAAACAAAACUCUG
This is a non-coding RNA of Sus scrofa (pig), 7139 nucleotides long. NCBI's taxonomy places the organism in Eukaryota, Metazoa, Chordata, Mammalia, Artiodactyla, Suidae. The record is from RefSeq and is a predicted model, not a curated record.